GAGAGAUUAAUUAAAUUUUAUAAUAUAAGCUUGUCAUGCUUAAAUUACUAUUUUGUAGUAUCUCUUU
Molecule: transfer RNA, 67 nt
Filed under: Ceriodaphnia cornuta
Lineage: Eukaryota; Metazoa; Arthropoda; Branchiopoda; Diplostraca; Daphniidae
Description: tRNA-Asp
Source: RNAcentral